GUCAAGACCAAGUGCACUAAGACAGCAUGACAUGGUAGAAUAAAGUCAACCUGCUGCAAGGAGACCGAGGUUUAUGCUCCAGUCUCUGUGUUAGCAUAUGUGAGACUUGGGGAUUUGUAAACCUUGGAGGCUCAAUUUUCUCAGCUACUACUAAAUGGAGACAACAAAACCAACUUUAUUUUGAGAAGCCAUCUUUAUCGUAUACAAAAUUCCCAUAUGCAUUGAGUGUAUGUCAGAUGUUUGAGGACUAUAAUUUUCAACAAAUGAAUCCAACAGAAAGUGUAAAAUCAUUGGAUGGGAGGGAGAUUCCACUCAACUAACUACAAUUGCCUUUUAAUUAUAUCACAAAUCUGACUGAAUCUCACCAUUUCUACUGCUACCUCCUUGGUCCCAGAUACCAUCAUCUCUCCCCUAGACAAAAGCAAAGCCUCUAUACUUGUCUCUCUGCAUCCAGUCUUGUCCCUGAAGCAAUCUCCGCACUCCCCCAAAUAUGCCACUUUGGCAGGAAGCUUAUUUAGAUCUAAAGGAAAUCAAAACCCAUGAGACUCCAGAAAAGUUC
This 559-nucleotide long non-coding RNA is filed under the name Mustela putorius furo (domestic ferret). Its description in RNAcentral is "lncRNA (ENSMPUG00000030857.1)". The record is from RNAcentral. Lineage: Eukaryota; Metazoa; Chordata; Mammalia; Carnivora; Mustelidae.